UGCGUAGGCGGCUUCUUAAGUCUGGUGUGAAAGCCCAGGGCUCAGCUCUGGAAGUGCACUAGAUACUGGGAAGCUUGAGUACCGGAGGGGAGAGUGGAAUUCCUGGUGUAGCGGUGAAAUGCGUAGAUAUCAGGAGGAAUACCGGUGGCGAAAGCGACUCUCUGGACGGUUACUGACGCUGAGGCACGAAAGCUGGGGAGCAAACA
This 206-nucleotide ribosomal RNA is filed under the name uncultured bacterium. Its description in RNAcentral is "partial 16S ribosomal RNA". It matches the Rfam family "Bacterial small subunit ribosomal RNA", at positions 568 to 774 of the family's 1533-position model. The record is from RNAcentral.